AAGACAAUGAGGGACAUGAGGACCAGUGGGUGUCUACCUGUCCAUCACUUUCUCACAUUUACUAGAAUUCAGGAUUGUUCGCCCUUUCAUUUCCCUCCUUCAUAAUUCUUUCAAUUUAAAUUGACAUGAGGCUGUGUUUGUUUGUCUUCUUUGAGAGCUCAAGUCUUACACUACCAAGAAUAGAUAAAAUUUACCUUUUUCUUUCAGUGGUAAUUUAAAUACAUCACAAACUUAAAUUUUAUAUAUUUUAUAAAGUCUUACAAAAAAAUCAAGCCCUUCCCUAUAAAUGAAACCUUUAUACAGGAAAUAAAUAUACAGUAUACAUCUAUGGAAUAUACAAUUUAUAUAUACAUGACUCAGUUUAUGUGUAGUAUUUUGGUGAGCCUCAAACAGAUCCACUAGCAAUUUCUUGGGUUAACUAAGUGUUGCUUGGCAUAAGUGUGGUGUGUGUGUGUGUGUGUGUGUGUAAGGGAGGUGAAGCAGAUGAGGAGGAAGAGUAAAUACAGAGUAAGUUAGCAAGUUAUGGCAAGCAGUGCAUGGUGGUGUGGUAUGAGUGGCACACAGGAACAAGAGCAAGAAUGAGAAUAAAGAUGUGUGUGUGUGUGUGUGUGUGUGUGUGUGUGUGUGUGUGUGUGUGUGUGUGUGUGUGUGUGUGUGUGUGUGUG
Scylla paramamosain (green mud crab) is the source of this 665-nucleotide long non-coding RNA. RefSeq lists it as uncharacterized. NCBI's taxonomy places the organism in Eukaryota, Metazoa, Arthropoda, Malacostraca, Decapoda, Portunidae. The transcript has 2 exons. The record is from RefSeq and is a predicted model, not a curated record.